Molecule: long non-coding RNA, 613 nt
Organism: Homo sapiens (human)
Lineage: Eukaryota; Metazoa; Chordata; Mammalia; Primates; Hominidae
Exons: 2
Source: RefSeq, a predicted model, not a curated record
CUAAGGACUCUGAACUUUAUUUUGAGCCCAACGAAGGAUUGUUGAUUUUCUUUUCUUUUGUCAGAAGUGAGACAGCCACACUGAAGGCUUGCUUCCCUCCUGCUCAUAGAGAGCUGAUAGCAACAACCAAGGCUACAUGCUUCCUGAGUUACAGCUGAUGAGAGACUGUCCACUCCACAACUGUCAGAGUCCUGAGCUUCAUUCCGAUUGCAACCCUGCCGCAUGCUCACUCCUUACUACUGUGAAAGGUCAUUGCUAUCAUUAUGGUGCUCAGCGGGUCUUUACUAAUCUAUUUACUCAUACUUAAAUGGAAAAUUUCAGAGUAUGUGUUUCCUCAUGGUUCUAUCUUUGGGAACAAGUCUGAUGGCCACUGCCUUUCUCCCUGCCAGAGUCAGGAUCUAGCAUCAGGGGUUUCCAGGGUUCCCUGGGAGCAGACGACUGUUGCCUAACAGCUACGUGGCUAACAGUACCACUGCCAGCAAGAACACUCCUUUACUUCACAGAAGUCUCCCCCUUCCUGCUCCACCAUGCUAGAGGGCUUGAAAUGCCUUGAAAUUCUCUCCCUUCAGAGUUGAAAUACCACUUCCCUGAAAAUAAAAUGCAUCUUCCCCAA